Molecule: ribosomal RNA, 445 nt
Filed under: uncultured bacterium
Lineage: Bacteria
Description: partial 16S ribosomal RNA
Rfam family: Bacterial small subunit ribosomal RNA
Source: RNAcentral
GUGAGGAAUAUUGGACAAUGGGCGCAAGCCUGAUCCAGCCAUGCCGCGUGCAGGAAGACGCAUCUAUGGUGUGUAAACUGCUUUUGUACGGGAAGAAACACUCCAUCGUGAGGGAGCUUGACGGUACCGUAAGAAUAAGGAUCGGCUAACUCCGUGCCAGCAGCCGCGGUAAUACGGAGGAUCCAAGCGUUAUCCGGAAUCAUUGGGUUUAAAGGGUCCGUAGGCGGUUUAAUAAGUCAGUGGUGAAAGCCCAUCGCUCAACGAUGGAACGGCCAUUGAUACUGUUAGACUUGAAUUACAAGGAAGUAACUAGAAUAUGUAGUGUAGCGGUGAAAUGCUUAGAUAUUACAUGGAAUACCAAUUGCGAAGGCAGGUUACUACUUGUGGAUUGACGCUGAUGGACGAAAGCGUGGGGAGCGAACAGGAUUAGAUACCCGGGUAGUCC